RNAcentral lists this ribosomal RNA (404 nucleotides) under Actinomycetes bacterium. Its description in RNAcentral is "Actinobacteria bacterium partial 16S ribosomal RNA". It matches the Rfam family "Bacterial small subunit ribosomal RNA", at positions 355 to 776 of the family's 1533-position model. Lineage: Bacteria; Bacillati; Actinomycetota; Actinomycetes. The record is from RNAcentral.
UGGGGAAUAUUGGACAAUGGGCGCAAGCCUGAUCCAGCCAUGCCGCGUGAGUGAUGAAGGCCCUCGGGAUGUAAAGCUCUUUCACCGGUGAAGAUAAUGACGGUAACCUGAGAAGAAGCCCCGGCUAACUUCGUGCCAGCAGCCGCGGUAAUACGAAGGGGGCUAGCGUUUUUCGGAUUUACUGGGCGUAGAGCGCACGUAGGCGGACUUUUAAGUCAGGGGUGAAAUCCCGGGGCUCAACCCCGGAACUGCCUUUGAUACUGCAAGUCUUGAGUAUGGUAGAGGUGGGUGGAAUUCCGAGUGUAGAGGUGAAAUUCGUAGAUAUUCGGAGGAAAACCAGAGGAGAAGGAGGCUCACUGGACCAUUACUGACGCUGAGGUGCGAAAGCGUAGGGAGCAAACAGG